This 860-nucleotide ribosomal RNA is filed under the name Badumna longinqua. Its description in RNAcentral is "SSU rRNA". It matches the Rfam family "Eukaryotic small subunit ribosomal RNA", at positions 52 to 916 of the family's 1831-position model. The record is from RNAcentral. Lineage: Eukaryota; Metazoa; Arthropoda; Arachnida; Araneae; Desidae.
UGCAUGUCUAAGUACAUGCCGUAUUAAGGCGAAACCGCGAAUGGCUCAUUAAAUUGGUUCCUUGGAUCGUACCUUACUACUUGGAUAACUGUGGCAAUUCUAGAGCUAAUACAUGCAGCAGAGCUCCGACCUUCGGGGACGAGCGCUUUUAUUAGACCAAAACCAAUCGGACCUCGUGUCCGUCUCUUGUGGUGACUCUGUAUAACUUUGGGCUGAUCGCACGGGCCCGUCCCGGCGACGUAUCUUUCAAGUGUCUGCCUUAUCAACUUUCGAUGGUAGGUUACGCGCCUACCAUGGUCGUAACGGGUAACGGGGAAUCAGGGUUCGAUUCCGGAGAGGGAGCCUGAGAAACGGCUACCACAUCCAAGGAAGGCAGCAGGCGCGCAAAUUACCCACUCCCAGAACGGGGAGGUAGUGACGAAAAAUAACAAUACGGGACUCUUUUGAGACCCCGUAAUUGGAAUGAGUACACUCUAAAUCCUUUAACGAGGAUCCAUUGGAGGGCAAGUCUGGUGCCAGCAGCUGCGGUAAUUCCAGCUCCAAUAGCGUAUAUUAAAGUUCGUUGGGGUUAAAAAGCUCGUAGUUGGAUCUCAGUUCCAGACGGGUGGUCCGCCUACCGGUGGUUACUGCCUGUUCUGAACAGCCAGCCGGUUUCUCUUGAUGAUCUUCACCGGUUGUCUUGGGUGACCGGCAAGUUUACUUUGAAAAAAUUAGAGUGCUCAAAGCAGGCGUGACGCCUGAAUAAUGGUGCAUGGAAUAAUGGAAUAGGACCUCGGUUCUAUUUUGUUGGUUUUCGGAACACGAGGUAAUGAUUAAGAGGGACAGACGGGGGCAUUCGUAUUGCGACGCUAGAGGUGAAA